Molecule: non-coding RNA, 285 nt
Organism: Neolamprologus brichardi
Lineage: Eukaryota; Metazoa; Chordata; Actinopteri; Cichliformes; Cichlidae
Source: RefSeq, a predicted model, not a curated record
CUGGAUUUCUCAGAGGAGGAAAUUCAAGAACAGUUAGCCCUCCUUGGCUACAAAAACAUACCAAAGCACAGGCUGCGUGAAUUUAAACAAGAUCUGGAUGAGCUGGUUCGACGAGGGGAGUGGAAAGGCCUUUCCUCAUCGAAUGAGAUAAAUGCCAAAUCUCAGGCACCUACACCUCAGCCAAGUCCCCCUGCCUAUACCAAAGAAAAGGUUAGUCCACACUGCUUUAAAGGCACUAGUGAAGCAUUCUUCCUACAUGCAGGCAGUACAGACCAUGCCAGAAAG